GAUCAUGGCUCAGGACGAACGCUGGCGGCGUGCUUAACACAUGCAAGUCGAACGCUGAAGCUCAGCUUGCUGGGUGGAUGAGUGGCGAACGGGUGAGUAACACGUGAGUAACCUGCCCUCUUCUUUGGGAUAACGCCCGGAAACGGGUACUAAUACUGGAUAUUCACUGAUCUUCGCAUGGGGGUUGGUGGAAAGGUUCUUUCUGGUGGGGAUGGGCUCGCGGCCUAUCAGCUUGUUGGUGGGGUG
RNAcentral lists this ribosomal RNA (246 nucleotides) under uncultured bacterium. Its description in RNAcentral is "partial 16S ribosomal RNA". It matches the Rfam family "Bacterial small subunit ribosomal RNA", at positions 15 to 259 of the family's 1533-position model. The record is from RNAcentral.